CCUACGGGAGGCAGCAGUGGGGAAUAUUGGACAAUGGGCGAAAGCCUGAUCCAGCAAUGCCGCGUGAGUGAUGAAGGCCUUAGGGUUGUAAAGCUCUUUUACCAGGGAUGAUAAUGACAGUACCUGGAGAAUAAGCUCCGGCUAACUCCGUGCCAGCAGCCGCGGUAAUACGGAGGGAGCUAGCGUUAUUCGGAAUUACUGGGCGUAAAGCGUACGUAGGCGGUUAUUCAAGUCAGAGGUGAAAGCCCGGGGCUCAACCCCGGAACUGCCUUUGAAACUAGAUAACUAGAGUCUUGGAGAGGUUAGUGGAAUUCCGAGUGUAGAGGUGAAAUUCGUAGAUAUUCGGAAGAACACCAGUGGCGAAGGCGACUAACUGGACAAGUACUGACGCUGAGGUACGAAAGCGUGGGGAGCAAACAGGAUUAGAUACCCUGGUAGUCCACGCCGUAAACGAUGAUAACUAGCUGUCCGGGCACUUGGUGCCUGGGUGGCGCAGCUAACGCAUUAAGUUAUCCGCCUGGGGAGUACGGUCGCAAGAUUAAAACUUAAAGGAAAUUGACGG
Molecule: ribosomal RNA, 562 nt
Filed under: uncultured bacterium
Lineage: Bacteria
Description: bacterial SSU rRNA
Rfam family: Bacterial small subunit ribosomal RNA
Source: RNAcentral